Molecule: ribosomal RNA, 300 nt
Filed under: Triticum aestivum (bread wheat)
Lineage: Eukaryota; Viridiplantae; Streptophyta; Magnoliopsida; Poales; Poaceae
Description: partial small subunit ribosomal RNA
Source: RNAcentral
AUGUCCGGUGAUGCUGCCGAUCACGCUUUCACCAGUCGGGCUCCAGGACCGGACAUAGAGGUGGAAGCUGACAUGGGGCAGACGCCGGAUACUCCCCCUACAGAGGAUGCGGAUAGACUAUCCGCUACAAAUUCAGAAGUGGAGAGCGCCAUGAAUCAUAGGCGUCGCCGGGCCAUACUCCGUGACGGUUGCUUCUCACCAGAGGCAUUUGAUGCCUUCAAUUCUGAAGAGGCGUACCUUCGUGCUGCUCAAAAUGGUCUAGCCAGAGCCACAGACCAGUAUGUAAAGGAUUAUGGGUAA